UGGGGUAUCGCCAAGCGGUCCGGAUUCUGAUUCCGGCAUUCCGAGGUUCGAAUCCUCGUACCCCAGCCA
RNAcentral lists this transfer RNA (69 nucleotides) under Salmonella enterica subsp. enterica serovar Bovismorbificans. RNAcentral describes it as "tRNA-Gln(ctg)". It matches the Rfam family "tRNA". From Rfam's summary of the family: Transfer RNA (tRNA) molecules are approximately 80 nucleotides in length. Their secondary structure includes four short double-helical elements and three loops (D, anti-codon, and T loops). Further hydrogen bonds mediate the characteristic L-shaped molecular structure. tRNAs have two regions of fundamental functional importance: the anti-codon, which is responsible for specific mRNA codon recognition, and the 3' end, to which the tRNAs corresponding amino acid is attached (by aminoacyl-tRNA synthetases). tRNAs cope with the degeneracy of the genetic code in two manners: having more than one tRNA (with a specific anti-codon) for a particular amino acid; and 'wobble' base-pairing, i.e. permitting non-standard base-pairing at the 3rd anti-codon position. The record is from RNAcentral. Lineage: Bacteria; Pseudomonadati; Pseudomonadota; Gammaproteobacteria; Enterobacterales; Enterobacteriaceae.